RNAcentral lists this ribosomal RNA (725 nucleotides) under Melanelixia fuliginosa. RNAcentral's name for it is "partial small subunit ribosomal RNA". The stretch from base 1 to 409 matches the Rfam family "Bacterial small subunit ribosomal RNA", at positions 469 to 873 of the family's 1533-position model. The record is from RNAcentral. Lineage: Eukaryota; Fungi; Ascomycota; Lecanoromycetes; Lecanorales; Parmeliaceae.
AUGACAUUGUCUGCCUAUGUGUCUUGACCAAAUUACGUGCCAGCAGUCGCGGUAAUACGUAGAAGACUAGUGUUAUUCAUGUUUAAUCGGUUUAAAGGGUACCUAGACGGCAGAUCAAGCUUUCGAUGAAAUAUAAUUAAAGGAAAAGGACUAAUUUGCUAGAGUUACUUGUGAGGGGGUAUUAAAGUACUGCUGGUGUAGAGAUGAAAUUCUGUCAUACCUCUCUUCGAAAGAAGAAUGAUGGCACAGGUAUAGGCGAAGGCAUCCCCUUAUGUGAUAACUGACGUUGAGGGACGAAGGCUUUGUGUAGCGAACAGGAUUAGAUACCCCAGUAGUCGAAGCAGAAAAUGAUGAAUGUCAUAGAUUAGAUAUAAGUUUAUUCUAUAAAUGAAAGUGUAAGCAUUCCACCUCAUGAGUAAUUUGGCAACAUUGGAACUGAAAUCAUUAGACCGUUUCUGAAACCAGUAGUGAAGUAUGUUGUUUAAUUUGAUGAUCCGCAAAAAACCUUACCACAAUUUGAAUAUUUAUAUUUUUUUUUUAUUGUUUCCUUAUUAAUUUUUUUCUAAUAACAAACGAAACGUGCGAAGAAAAAAACAUAUUGUAUAAAUGAUAAUACUGAAUGGCGCAAAUGAUAAUCCUGAAUAAAUGAAGAUCCUGAAGGGUACAAAUAAUUAAUAAUUAGAAGAAAUCUAAUAAAGAGGCAAUAAGAUAUAUUUUACAAGCGA